RNAcentral lists this ribosomal RNA (406 nucleotides) under uncultured bacterium. Its description in RNAcentral is "partial 16S ribosomal RNA". It matches the Rfam family "Bacterial small subunit ribosomal RNA", at positions 30 to 526 of the family's 1533-position model. The record is from RNAcentral.
AUUGAACGCUGGCGGCAGGCCUAACACAUGCAAGUCGAACGAGUGGCGGACGGGUGAGUAAUGUCUGUGAAACUGCCUGAUGGAGGGGGAUAACUACUGGAAACGGUAGCUAAUACCGCAUACCAUCGGAUGUGCCCAGAUGGGAUUAGCUUGUUGGUGGGGUAACGGCUCACCAAGUCGACGAUCCCUAGCUGGUUUGCGAGGAUGACCAGACACACUGGAACGGAGACACGGUCCAGACUCCUACGUGAGGCAGCAGUGGGGAAUAUUGGACAAUGGGCGCAAGCCUGAUGCAGCCAUGCCGCGUGUAUGAAGAAGGCCUUCGGGUUGUAAAGUACUUUCAGCGGGGAGGCGUUACCCGCAGAAGAAGCACCGGCUAACUCCGUGCCAGCAGCCGCGGUAAUAC